RNAcentral lists this ribosomal RNA (513 nucleotides) under uncultured bacterium. RNAcentral's name for it is "partial 16S ribosomal RNA". It matches the Rfam family "Bacterial small subunit ribosomal RNA", at positions 28 to 523 of the family's 1533-position model. The record is from RNAcentral.
GAUGAACGCUGGCGGCGUGCCUAAUACAUGCAAGUCAAACGCGCAGCGAAAGGUGCUUGCACCUUUCAAGCGAGUGGCGAACGGGUGAGUAACACGUGGAUAACCUGCCUCAAGGCUGGGGAUAACAUUUGGAAACAGAUGCUAAUACCGAAUAAAACUUAGUAUCGCAUGAUACAAAGUUGAAAGGCGCUACGGCGUCACCUAGAGAUGGGUCCGCGGUGCAUUAGUUAGUUGGUGGGGUAAAGGCCUACCAAGACAAUGAUGCAUAGCCGAGUUGAGAGACGGAUCGGCCACAUUGGGACUGAGACCCGGCCCAAACUCCUACGGGAGGCUGCAGUAGGGAAUCUUCCACAAUGGGCGAAAGCCUGAUGGAGCAACGCCGCGUGUGUGAUGAAGGCUUUAGGGUCGUAAAGCACUGUUGUAUGGGAAGAAAUGCUAGGAUAGGGAAUGAUUCUAGUUCGACGGUACCAUACCAGAAAGGGACGGCUAAAUACGUGCCAGCCGCCGCAGUAA